GGGAAUUUUCCGCAAUGGGCGAAAGCCUGACGGAGCAAUACCGCGUGAGGGAUGACGGCCUAUGGGUUGUAAACCUCUUUUUUCAGGGAGGAAUAAAUGACGUGUACCUGAAGAAUAAGCAUCGGCUAACUCCGUGCCAGCAGCCGCGGUAAGACGGAGGAUGCAAGUGUUAUCCGGAAUCACUGGGCGUAAAGCGUCUGUAGGUGGUUUGAUAAGUCAACUGUUAAAUCUUGAGGCUCAACCUCAAAAUGGCAGUCGAAACUAUUAGACUAGAGUAUAGUAGGGGUAAAGGGAAUUUCCAGUGGAGCGGUGAAAUGCGUAGAGAUUGGAAAGAACACCGAUGGCGAAGGCACUUUACUGGGCUAUUACUGACACUCAGAGACGAAAGCUAGGGUAGCAAAUGGGAUUAGAUACCCCAGUAGUCA
RNAcentral lists this ribosomal RNA (425 nucleotides) under uncultured cyanobacterium. Its description in RNAcentral is "bacterial SSU rRNA". It matches the Rfam family "Bacterial small subunit ribosomal RNA", at positions 357 to 796 of the family's 1533-position model. Lineage: Bacteria; Bacillati; Cyanobacteriota. The record is from RNAcentral.